This 23-nucleotide small nuclear RNA is filed under the name Arabidopsis thaliana (thale cress). RNAcentral's name for it is "snRNA_08982". Lineage: Eukaryota; Viridiplantae; Streptophyta; Magnoliopsida; Brassicales; Brassicaceae. The record is from RNAcentral.
UCGCUCCAAAUGAAAACUUAUCU